CCCGCCCUAGCUCAGAGGUAGAGCGUGCUUCUCUAAAAAGCAUGGUCCCCGGUUCAAAUCCUGGGGGCGGGACCA
This 75-nucleotide transfer RNA is filed under the name Cloning vector pMB1_1R26PylRS.CbzK/AfTyrRS.p-I-Phe. Its description in RNAcentral is "tRNA-Tyr". It matches the Rfam family "tRNA". From Rfam's summary of the family: Transfer RNA (tRNA) molecules are approximately 80 nucleotides in length. Their secondary structure includes four short double-helical elements and three loops (D, anti-codon, and T loops). The record is from RNAcentral. RNAcentral also lists the same sequence under 1 other name.